RNAcentral lists this ribosomal RNA (253 nucleotides) under uncultured bacterium. RNAcentral describes it as "partial 16S ribosomal RNA". It matches the Rfam family "Bacterial small subunit ribosomal RNA", at positions 524 to 776 of the family's 1533-position model. The record is from RNAcentral.
UACGAAGGGGGCUAGCGUUGUUCGGAAUUACUGGGCGUAAAGCGCGCGCAGGCGGUUCUUUAAGUCAGGGGUGAAAGCCCAGAGCUCAACUCUGGAAUUGCCUUUGAAACUAGAGAACUUGGGUACGGGAGAGGUGAGUGGAAUUCCGAGUGUAGAGGUGAAAUUCGUAGAUAUUCGGAAGAACACCAGUGGCGAAGGCGGCUCACUGGCCCGUUACUGACGCUGAGGCGCGAAAGCGUGGGGAGCAAACAGG